UAGGGAAUCUUCCGCAAUGGACGAAAGUCUGACGGAGCAACGCCGCGUGAGUGAAGAAGGAUUUCGGUUCGUAAAACUCUGUUGUUAGGGAAGAAAAAAUGUAUAGUAACUAUAUACAAAAGAGACGGUACCUAACCAGAAAGCCACGGCUAACUACGUGCCAGCAGCCGCGGUAAUACGUAGGUGGCAAGCGUUUGCCGUAAUUAUUGGGCGUAAAGCGCGCGCAGGUGGUUUAGAAAGUCUGAUGUGAAAGACCACGGCUCAACCGUGGAGGGUCAUUGGAAACUAAUAAACUUGAGUGCAGGGGGGAAAAGUGGAAUUCCUAGUGUAGCGGUGAGAUGCGUAGAGAUUAGGAGGAACACCGGUGGCGAAAGCGGGUUUUUGGCCUGCAACUGACACUGAGGCGCGAAAGCGUGGGGGGCAAACAGG
RNAcentral lists this ribosomal RNA (429 nucleotides) under Verrucomicrobiota bacterium. Its description in RNAcentral is "Verrucomicrobia bacterium partial 16S ribosomal RNA". It matches the Rfam family "Bacterial small subunit ribosomal RNA", at positions 355 to 776 of the family's 1533-position model. Lineage: Bacteria; Pseudomonadati; Verrucomicrobiota. The record is from RNAcentral.